ACCAGUAGCGACCCUCUAGAGGGCUGCAGUCAGCGAGGAGACAAAAGGAAGGCCUCUGAUGCUGCUGAAGCUCCGUCCAAAAAGAGGAGGCUUGAACCGGCGCAGCACAGAACUAAGCUGUCAGAAGAGGAGCAGAGAGAACAAUUCCAUGGAAAAUACGAGCAGCAACAUAAGCUCGGAGUUGGAGGUUGUGGGUCUGUGUUCGCUGGGCGCCGCAAAUCGGAUGAUUUGCCGGUGGCGAUAGAACACAUCCCAAAAGACAACGUGCCGUGCAAACACGUGGACCACAACAGGGAGAAGCUCUCCAUCGAAGUAGCUGCUAUGCUGAGGAUUCAGGCUGCUACAGCUGGAUUGAUGAGGACGUCAGCACCGAUAUCCCUGCUGGACUGGUACGACAUGGGCCAAGAGCUGAUCCUGGUUCUAGAGAGACCAGUUCCCUCAGAACUGAUUACGUGGUGGGCAAUUGAGCCUUACUGGAGGAGGAGGCGAAGAUCAUUGUGAAACAGCUCGUGGAUGCUGCCAUUGACCUGGAGGACAAAGGCAUCUUUCACCGGGACAUUAAAUGCGAAAAAAUUCUGAUCGAGACCGGAUCAGGAGUCCCGCGUGUUCGACUCAUCGACUUCGGGCUGAGCUGUUUUGCAAAGAAGCGAUCGUGCUAUCGCAAAUUUUAUGGCACUCACGAUCACGCCCCUCCAGAGUGGUACUGCCGCCGCCCCUACCGGGCCGGGCCCACCACGGUGUAUCAGGUGGGGAUUGUGCUUUUUGUGAUGACCCACAGAGUUAACUUUGAGACCACCAUGUACUUCGGAGAAAGGGUGCAGAUCAGCGACAAAGUGUCCAAAGACUGCCGGGAUUUCUUAGAGAAGUGCUUCACGCUGGUCCCUGAACAUCGGCCCAAACUGAGGGAGCUCCUUCAUCAUCCAUGGCUGAGAUAAAAACACCACACUCACACUGCACCUCAUCACAAACACGAUACACCUUAACUAUCGUCCCAUGUCGGUCACGCCAAAUGCAUUUUGUCAUCUUGUCAAAAGUGACAGAAUUUACUGAAUUGAAAAAAAUUAAAAUACAAUAGGGCCAUUCCAUGCCAAAUCACCCAGAAUUAGAAAAAAUCCCCAGGUCACCAUCUCAGAAAAUUCUGAAAAAAAUUACACUUGUAGGCAUAUCAGAGAAACUGAGAAAUCCCAAAUUUUAGCUACAAAACUCUAAUACUUUGGAAGUUACAGCACAUAGAAAAUUAAGGGUUUUUAUUGACGUUUUCUACCACAGCAUGAUCAGCCAUGUUGGAGGAUCAAUAACUUUUGUUUUUUUCUAUCUCAGAAUUCUGAUAUUAUACAUCUAGGCCUAACUUUUCCUGUAGAAUCCAUUUUUGUCAUCAUCAAGGUCGCAUGUCUUUUAGUUACUGUGCUAUCAAGCUCUCAAAAUGGCUGUAAGCCUAAUUUUUUUCAAAAUUGAUGGUAUAUAUUUAUGCAUUUUGCAGAAAUAGGGAUUGGACUAUAGAAAAGAAGCUUCUCAUAUCAAAUGUUAUGACUAUUCAGCAAUCAGAAAUGCUUUCAGACUGAGAAUAGUGUGAAUGGUAACUGAGGAAUACAUUUUUCGAAAAUUACAUUUUUUGAUUUUAUACAAAAAUGACCUCUAUUCAAUGCACUAAAAUCUAAUGAGCUCAGUUGUUCAGGAUCUUAAAAUCUCUACCAUAGUUUUAUACCAUGAUAAGCUUUAAGUGUGAGAAGUUUCAACUUUGGGGUCAAAGUGCUUCAUAUUCUUGUAAUAUUUUGAAGAUUCACACAAGUGUAGCGCUUUUGGUCACGUGUAAAAAAUAUGAAAAAUCAGUAAAACUUGUAAUAGCUUAGUUUUAUAGUUAAAUAUCAAUAUAUCGGGCUUUGCAAA
Long non-coding RNA from Acanthochromis polyacanthus (spiny chromis), 1887 nucleotides. RefSeq lists it as uncharacterized. Lineage: Eukaryota; Metazoa; Chordata; Actinopteri; Pomacentridae. The record is from RefSeq and is a predicted model, not a curated record. The transcript has 7 exons.